AGAAAAAUGAUUUGGUCCAAUUUUGCAACAAUUAUUUGGGAGGUCCUUCACAAAAAAACCUCCUUUCGGGCACUCGAAAAAUGGAAAAUGGUUUUUUCGUCCAAAGAAAAUGAAAACUUCCUUAGGCAACAUUGUUUGCCAUUCCAAUAUGCACCCUUGUGCACAAUAUGAGAUCAUUUGAACAAACUAUGCCAUGAAUGUGGCCAUAAGAUUGAUCAUUUGGCUUGAAAGCCAUUCAUCUCCACACGUGAUAGCUCGUUUCUGAGAACACUUUUUUAAAAUAAUUGCCGUACUACAAGUUUGUUAUUUUUCCAGGGAACUUGGCCACAUAUGAUGACACAAUGCGAAGGUUUCCCAAUUUUUUGAUUUUUUGAAUUUUUUAUGCACGUUUCAAAAUGCGGUCAAAACGGCGGGAAUGACCGUUCCUAGCUAGUGGUUGAAUCUUGGAAUUUUUUGGUGUUUCUCUGAUUAAAUAGAUACUUAUGUACCUAGAAAUGAUUUUUGGAAAAAAAUAAAGAGCAAACUACAAGGCAGCUACAGUUGAAAUUUGACCGGCUUCUUGCUGAAUCGAUGGAAAUUUGUCUUUUCAUGAGAGGUGGAUCAAAGCUUCUCACACCAAACCAUUUGGUCAAUAGUGCAUUAAAUAUGUCCUAGUAUUUUAGAAAAUUGAUUUGGUACAAUUUUGCAACAAAUAUUUGGUAGGUCCUUCACAAAAAAGCUUAUUUCGGACACUUGAAAAAUGGAAAAUGGAUUUUUCGUCCACAGAAAAUGAAAACUUCCUUAGGGAACAUUGUUUGCCAUUCCAAUAUGCACCCUUGUGAAAAAUUUGAGAUCAUUUGAACAAACUAUGCCAUGAAUGUGGCCAUAAGAUUGAUCAUUUGGCUUCAAAGCCAUUCAUCUCCACACGUGAUAGCUCGUUUCUGAGAACACUUUUUUGAAAAUAAUUGCCGUAUUACAAGUUUGUUAUUUUUCCUGGGAACUUGGCCACAUAUGAUGACACAAAUGCUAAGGUUUCCCAAUUUUUUGAUUUUUUUUGAAUUUGUUAUGCCCGUUUCAAAAUGCAGUCAAAACGGCGGGAAUGACCGUUCCUAGCUAGUGGUGGAAUCUUGGAAUUUUUUGGUGUUUCUCUGAUUCAAUAGAUACUUAUGUACCUAGAAAUUAUUUUUGUAAAAAAUAAAUAACAAACUAUGAGGCAGCUAUAGUUCAAAUUUGACCCGCUUCCCGCUGAAUCGGCGGAAAUUUGUCUUUUUCAAGAGAGGUGGAUCAAAACUUUUUACACCCAACCAUUUGGUCAAUUGUGCAUUAAAUAUGGCCUAGUAUUUUAGAAAAAUGAUUUGGUCCAAUUUUGCAACAAUUAUUUGUGAGGUCCUUCACAAAAAAACCUCCUUCCGGGCACUCGAAAAAUAGAAAAUGGUUUUUUCGUCCAAAGAAAAUGAAAACUUCCUUAGGCAACAUUGUUUGCCAUUCCAAUAUGCACCCUUGUGCACAAUAUGAGAUCAUUUGAACAAACUAUGCCAUGAAUGUGGCCAUAAGAUUGAUCAUUUGGCUUGAAAGCCAUUCAUCUCCACACGUGAUAGCUCGUUUCUGAGAACACUUUUUUAAAAUAAUUGCCGUACUAGAAGUUUGUUAUUUUUCCAGGGAACUUGGCCACAUAUGAUGACACAAUGCGAAGGUUUCCCAAUUUUUUGAUUUUUUGAAUUUUUUAUGCACGUUUCAAAAUGCGGUCAAAACGGCGGGAAUGACCGUUCCUAGCUAGUGGUUGAAUCUUGGAAUUUUUUGGUGUUUUUCUGAUUAAAUAGAUACUUAUGUACCUAGAAAUGAUUUUUGGAAAAAAAUAAAGAGCAAACUAUGAGGCAGCUACAGUUGAAAUUUGACCGGCUUCUUGCUGAAUCGAUGGAAAUUUGUCUUUUCAUGAGAG
This 1918-nucleotide long non-coding RNA is filed under the name Triticum aestivum (bread wheat). RNAcentral's name for it is "long non-coding RNA (TAES_LNC019050)". The record is from RNAcentral. Lineage: Eukaryota; Viridiplantae; Streptophyta; Magnoliopsida; Poales; Poaceae.